CAGGGAUGAAAAGCUUCUGGGCACAGUCAAGUACUUGCGAAGUCAGAGUGUGAUCGAGAUGGAAUUGACCACUCCAAGAGUUGGAGAAGAAUGAGUCGUUGUAUUUCAAUUUAGCAAAACCUUGGCCAGGGUAAUCCAUCAGAUGGAUUUGAUAUUUUGAAAUACAAUGUGGACAACUUGAUCAGAGUUGACAGUUGAACUCUGG
Molecule: long non-coding RNA, 205 nt
Filed under: Elaeis guineensis (African oil palm)
Lineage: Eukaryota; Viridiplantae; Streptophyta; Magnoliopsida; Arecales; Arecaceae
Description: long non-coding RNA (EGUI_LNC038675)
Source: RNAcentral